CAUUUGGGAGCGGCGUUUUUUGCCGCCCCCUGAAAAAUGCUGCCCAAGGCAAAUGCCUUGUUUGCCUCGCGGCUAAAACGCCCCUGCUCGCGGGUGCAGUCAUCAUCUUCCGGCAGGUCCUCUUCAGCACAUUAGUGAGAAUACAGCAUUGAGGUCUAUGGAGGAUCCCACAAGUCCGUGGGAUCCUCCAUAGACAGAGCCAAUUCCCUGCAGUGUUUAUUGGUGAUGGCUGCUGGGAUUGACACUUUGAAUCUGCCCAGAGUCUAAGAAAGUCAGGCGGAGGAAAUAUCCACAGACAAAGUAGUCCUUAUUUCGUCACUGUAUAUCUCUUGAUUGGGCUGGAAUUUCAGCAAAAUCCCAACAGUCAAAAUUAGUAUUUCAUAAUAAUUUAAUAAAUACAAAUGUUUCAGGGGGUGACAG
Pelobates cultripes (western spadefoot toad) is the source of this 420-nucleotide non-coding RNA. The record is from the annotation of a GenBank genome assembly. NCBI's taxonomy places the organism in Eukaryota, Metazoa, Chordata, Amphibia, Anura, Pelobatidae.